Molecule: ribosomal RNA, 783 nt
Filed under: uncultured crenarchaeote
Lineage: Archaea; Thermoproteati; Thermoproteota
Description: bacterial SSU rRNA
Rfam family: Archaeal small subunit ribosomal RNA
Source: RNAcentral
GAUAGGUGAAGACUCCUGGAAUGGGUCUUCGCCCAAAAGGCGUUUAGACCAUGCUUCUAAGCGCCGCCCAAGGAUGGGGCCGCGGCCGAUCAGGUUGUUGGUGAGGUAACGGCUCACCAAGCCUAUAACCGGUGCGGGCCGUGAGAGCGGGAGCCCGGAGAUGGGCACUGAGACAAGGGCCCAGGCCCUACGGGGCGCAGCAGUCGCGAAACCUCCGCAAUACACGAAAGUGUGACGGGGCUAUCCCGAGUGCCAUCCGCUGAGGGUGGCUUUUCCCCAGUGUAGAUAGCUGGGGGAAUAAGGAGAGGGCAAGUCUGGUGUCAGCCGCCGCGGUAAUACCAGCUCUCCGAGUGGUGGGGACGCUUAUUGGGCUUAAAGCAUCCGUAGCUGGCUGGGCAAGUCCCCUGUUAAAUCUAACGAUUCAAUCGUUGGAUUGCGGGGGAUACUGCUCGGCUAGGGGGCGGGAGAGGCCGACGGUAUUCCCGGGGUAGGGGUGAAAUCCUAUAAUCCCGGGAGGACCACCAGUGGCGAAGGCUGUCGGCUAGAACGCGCCCGACGGUGAGGGAUGGAAGCUGGGGGAGCGAACCGGAUUAGAUACCCGGGUAGUCCCAGCUGUAAACGAUGCAGGCUAGGUGUUCGGGCGGCUACGUGCCGCUCGAGUGCCGCAGGGAAACCGUUAAGCCUGCCGCCUGGGGAGUACGGCCGCAAGGCUGAAACUUAAAGGAAUUGGCGGGGGAGCACCACAAGGGGUGAAGCUUGCGGUUUAAUUGGAUUCAACGCCGG